RNAcentral lists this small RNA (491 nucleotides) under Histoplasma capsulatum var. duboisii H88. RNAcentral describes it as "Histoplasma capsulatum H88 hypothetical RNA". Lineage: Eukaryota; Fungi; Ascomycota; Eurotiomycetes; Onygenales; Ajellomycetaceae. The record is from RNAcentral.
CGGUCAACGCUUUUCUUCUUUCUGAGAUACAAUUGGUGAAAUACAAAUCUUGUUGCGUAGUGCCUACGUCCUCAACAAAGGUGGCAACAAAAAGUCCGCCAGAGGGAUGCAGGAAACACACAAUGCCACUGCAACAACGAUAUUGGUUAAAAAUAUUCUAAAACAGACGGUCAUAAUACUUAAUAUAGUAUAGCUAAGUCUUUCGCCGCGCUGGUCAAUGAAGUGAGUUCGUCGAAAACUUGGAUAUCAGACAGCGAGAGAUUUCGGAAGGCCAUGCUUUUGUUUUUUGCGGUGGGUUCACUGGCCACGUUAAAAUUGAAGAUUUAUGGGCUUCAGUGUGGCCUUUGCACAGGUGACGCAAAGUACUUGUUGACAUCUACGGCAUCUUUGGCGCUGCUGGUAGAGGGUGCCCAUUGUGAGAAUUACCGCUCAUACUCUUAUUGCGCCCAGAUCGUUGACGGAAUCCAUCCUUUAUUCCAUUUAUCGAGGGG